RNAcentral lists this ribosomal RNA (259 nucleotides) under uncultured bacterium. Its description in RNAcentral is "partial small subunit ribosomal RNA". It matches the Rfam family "Bacterial small subunit ribosomal RNA", at positions 26 to 285 of the family's 1533-position model. The record is from RNAcentral.
AGGACGAACGCUGGCGGCGUGCCUAACACAUGCAAGUGGAGCGACGACCCGGGCUUCGGCCCGGUGCAAAGCCGCGAACGGGUGAGUAACACGUGAGUAACCUGCCCCUAGCUCUGGGAUAGCUCCGGGAAAACCGGGAUUAAUACCAGAUACGACCACUUUAGACAUCUGUCGUGGUGGAAAGGAUUCCGGCUAGGGAUGGGCUCGCGGCCUAUCAGCUUGUUGGUGGGGUAACGGCCUACCAAGGCGACGACGGGUA